CUUAAAAAUAAAUAAAUCACACAUGCUUCUAUCCCUCCUUUUCCAAAAAAUUAUGUCUGGAACUUGAAUGAGCUGAUUAUCUUCUGAACUAUCCUGGUAUCUUAAUAUUGUUAGUUAUCUGUACUGUUAUAUGUAUUGAUCAGCUUGGCAAAGGCAUUUUCCCUGCAAGUAAAUUACCGUUCUCAGACAAUCCAAUAAAGAUACUACAAAAUAAAUGAUCAUAUCCUUCCUGCCCAAACAGGCCUUAGGUUGACUUAUGUUACAGUCUUGUGCCAACAUCUAGAAAUAAUAACUCAGAAGCCACAAGCUUCCUACCCCAGAAGCAGAACAAAGCAGGGAGGGUGGGAGAACAAAACCCCUUUGUCGUUUAUUUCAAAGCACCACGUGCAUCUGGUCUGAUUACUUAUUCACUUCCCUGCCCCCAAGUGGUGACAGGAAAAAUUCUUGGAUGUUUUGCAAGAUAAUCUAAACUGGCAUUACAUCCUGUGAGACAAAGCAAGCAGCUGCUGCUGAAAGACCACUCCAUCCCUCCUGCCUCGACCCAGCCCCCUUAGCUCAGAUCACAAUCAAAGUAAGGUAAAGGAGAGGAAUGAUUUUGCCAUGAGUGUACCUCACAAAAUCUCCUUCCCCUUCCCUAGCAGACCUCUGAAAUUGGCCAGUGAAAACACACUCCAGAAGGUGAGCAAAGGAUUGUUUCUAAUCUAAAGUGAACCACUGAACAGAAAAAGACAGGAAGGAAUGGUGGUAGACUGACUGAUGCAGGAUGGGGCAAAGCUCUCACCUGUGGGACUCUACCAGUGCGCAGUAAUGGACUUGAGAACAAGGGAGGACUCGUCAAGUGUGGCUUCCUGACCCCUCCUGGUUACACUACACUAUGAAUACAUAUGAAGAAGAAGAAGAAGAAGAAGAAGAAGAAGAAGAAGAAGAAGAAGAAGAAGAAGGGCUCUUUCUACCAAUCAGGGCAAUAGCCACUGCAGCAGCAGUACUGGGAAGUGACUGGAUAAACUGGUCCAUGCAAGGAAACAUUUCAAUGUUGUCACAACACCUCAGACUCAUUCCUGUAGCAUGAAGAAAUUGAUUGCAGGCAAAGUUGAUACCAGCUCUGUGCCUUAUACAUGGCCCCUAUGGAUGGAGCUACUUACUGGUGUGGGAGUUAGGCUCUGAGGUCAGGUGCCUGGGCCAGAUAGCUUAUCUCCUCUGCUGAGAGGUACUUCAGCUAGUUUUCCUUUUACUGUCUCCUCAUAGCAACUGGAAGUAAUGUAAUCUUAAUGUAGCUAAGGGGUAAAAAAAUGGUCAUUUUCAAAACAUAGAAAUGCACUUCUUCUCCACCACAUGAAUUUAUGCAUCCCAUACAGAAAAUGCAAAAUUUACAUGCAUGUGACGUGUCAGUUGAGGCCCACAAAGUAAGAAUUAAAGAGAACAAACCACAUCGUGGAAUGCUAAAUGUGCAGUUCAUAACCUAAACCCGUCCUGGAGCAGAUACAAAUACUAAGCAGCCGAUAGUGCAUUCAGAAACAGAACAAUACUCAAUCACAUCAGAAACAAUGGUAUCUUGUAUGGAGAGAGGGCCUGAGAAAACUAGCAGGUAUGAUUCCAAGGGGAAGUAGAUGCUCCUCCAGUUUCAAUCAUAGUAUAUUAGAUUUCCUAUACUGUAUAACAUUUGAAGCAUAUAAGCAUUUAAAUCCUUGCUUUCCUAAUUAUACUGUGUUUUGUUAAUUUGUCACCCCUUUGCUAUUCUAAGCUAGUCUUUAUGGAGCUGCCCUGGAAACUGGUCAUAACUAAACAUUUCCCCCCAAUUACAGUUUCUCAAAGCAAUGUAGAAAAUCAGAGCAUGGGAAAGUAAAACUGGAAUAAAUUACGUUUUCACCUUUGUGAAUGGAGUAACAUGCUCUCGCUCAUUCUGUGAUCAGGUUGUUUUUUUAAAGUGUCAGUGGUUUGUUUGUAAAACAGCUCCCUAUGAACCACAUUGAAACUGUUAGCUGUUUAGAAAAAAAGAGAGUAUUGCAACGUUAUUCUCCUUCCCUGUAGACAAUGGAGAUCUUGAAUGCAUGUGAAAUAUUUCACUGCAACCUAAGUACUAGAUCUACUGUGUCAGUUCUGUAUCCCCUCCAGCUUCCUAGUAUCUAAAUGCCAGCAAUGGAAAAAAAGAAACUGGUGUCCACAAGAGUCAGAUCUGACAGGCUGCCUUUCUGUAACUCGUUCCUGGCCUACAGCCACACUUCCAUUGGCUCAAGUCUUCUGAUUCAAUAUCAUAUAAGCUAAGCAGAAUCGGCCUGAGCACUGUUAUGAGUUUAGACUGUUUACAUUACUGUCAAUGGGCAACCAGCCAGGGAGUUUAACAAAAGAACAGUAAUGUUCCUUGAAGGCUGGAAAGGUUUCUCCAGCUUUUGGGGAGGUGAUACUCUUUAGCUAGGGGGAGGGGGCAAAGAAACAGUUUGGAACCACAGUUUCCAUUAUAAUUUAGAGAUGGGGGUGGGGUGGGGGGACAGAGAGAUAAAUAUUUUAGUUGGACUUAGCUACAGGGAGUUUAGAUCAGUACUAUGUCAGAGUCAGUCUUACCAUUAAGCAGGGUUAGACAGCUCCCCUCCGGUGGCAGGAUUUGGGGAACUAUUAAGCAGCAAGUUGCCAAUUGUUCAUCCAUCUGUUGUUACAUUUUUACCACAAUCACAGGUUCCAUUUUUGGCUGUUCUUUAGUACUUGGUAUUAAAAUUGUAUUCAGAGUG
Long non-coding RNA from Podarcis raffonei (Aeolian wall lizard), 2723 nucleotides. RefSeq lists it as uncharacterized. The record is from RefSeq and is a predicted model, not a curated record. The transcript has 3 exons. Lineage: Eukaryota; Metazoa; Chordata; Lepidosauria; Squamata; Lacertidae.